Molecule: long non-coding RNA, 333 nt
Organism: Eleginops maclovinus (Patagonian blennie)
Lineage: Eukaryota; Metazoa; Chordata; Actinopteri; Perciformes; Eleginopidae
Exons: 3
Source: RefSeq, a predicted model, not a curated record
AGAAUUUCAUCGGAUCACCAGCAGAGACCUCCUGGGGACUUUCAGUGCAUCCCUUGACAAACAUGUGCCUUGCCUGCUGAAACUGUACCGGGCUAGGAAGGGAGCUUUUGGACAGAAGAUGGAAGACCUCCUCGAAAAGCUUGAUGAACAAACAUCGGACAUUGUGUCUCACGGAAAGACAGCAGCACUGAGAGGCCUGCCCAUUUUUGUCCGGGAAGACACAACCAAGUUUCUUCUGGAGUGUUUGGACACUGACCAUGAAGAAAGAGUGGUCAGAGGUGUGUCUGUGGGCAUCCUCGCCGUCAUUGAAGAUGAUAAUGCCGCCAUAUCACC